This 445-nucleotide ribosomal RNA is filed under the name Escherichia coli. RNAcentral describes it as "bacterial SSU rRNA". It matches the Rfam family "Bacterial small subunit ribosomal RNA", at positions 1 to 442 of the family's 1533-position model. RNAcentral also lists the same sequence under 1 other name. The record is from RNAcentral. Lineage: Bacteria; Pseudomonadati; Pseudomonadota; Gammaproteobacteria; Enterobacterales; Enterobacteriaceae.
AAAUUGAAGAGUUUGAUCAUGGCUCAGAUUGAACGCUGGCGGCAGGCCUAACACAUGCAAGUCGAACGGUAACAGGAAACAGCUUGCUGUUUCGCUGACGAGUGGCGGACGGGUGAGUAAUGUCUGGGAAACUGCCCGAUGGAGGGGGAUAACUACUGGAAACGGUAGCUAAUACCGCAUAACGUCGCAAGACCAAAGAGGGGGACCUUCGGGCCUCUUGCCAUCGGAUGUGCCCAGAUGGGAUUAGCUAGUAGGUGGGGUAACGGCUCACCUAGGCGACGAUCCCUAGCUGGUCUGAGAGGAUGACCAGCCACACUGGAACUGAGACACGGUCCAGACUCCUACGGGAGGCAGCAGUGGGGAAUAUUGCACAAUGGGCGCAAGCCUGAUGCAGCCAUGCCGCGUGUAUGAAGAAGGCCUUCGGGUUGUAAAGUACUUUCAGCGG